GUGGGUAGUUUGACUGGGGCGGUCUCCUCCCAAAGAGUAACGGAGGAGCACGAAGGUUAGCUAAUCCUGGUCGGACAUCAGGAGGUUAGUGCAAUGGCAUAAGCUAGCUUGACUGCGAGCGUGACGGCGCGAGCAGGUGCGAAAGCAGGUCAUAGUGAUCCGGUGGUUCUGAAUGGAAGGGCCAUCGCUCAACGGAUAAAAGGUACUCCGGGGAUAACAGGCUGAUACCGCCCAAGAGUUCAUAUCGACGGCGGUGUUUGGCACCUCGAUGUCGGCUCAUCACAUCCUGGGGCUGAAGUAGGUCCCAAGGGUAUGGCUGUUCGCCAUUUAAAGUGGUACGCGAGCUGGGUUUAGAACGUCGUGAGACAGUUCGGUCCCUAUCUGCCGUGGGCGCUGGAGAAUUGAGGGGGGCUGCUCCUAGUACGAGAGGACCGGAGUGGACGCAUCACUGGUGUUCGGGUUGUCAUGCCAAUGGCAUUGCCCGGUAGCUAAAUGCGGAAGAGAUAAGUGCUGAAAGCAUCUAAGCACGAAACUUGCCCCGAGAUGAGUUCUCCCUGAG
This 559-nucleotide ribosomal RNA is filed under the name Klebsiella aerogenes. RNAcentral's name for it is "partial 23S ribosomal RNA". It matches the Rfam family "Bacterial large subunit ribosomal RNA", at positions 2261 to 2819 of the family's 2925-position model. Lineage: Bacteria; Pseudomonadati; Pseudomonadota; Gammaproteobacteria; Enterobacterales; Enterobacteriaceae. The record is from RNAcentral.